CACAGGCACACAGAUGGGGUCACAGUCACUCAAACACUGGAGAUGGAGAGAGAAACGGUUGACAGAUUAGAUCUGGGGGUGUCCAUAGCACCCGUUCUUUGUAUGUGAUCGCUUAGUUUAAUGAAAAAGGUUUGCUUCCUAAAUACAUCCUUUAAUAUUCACCCUGUGCGACCAGGCAUGGUGGCUCACUGAAGAUCUCUGUGUUCCAGGCCGGCCUGGGUUUACAUAGUGAGUUCUAAGACUACACAGAGAGACCCUGUCUCAAACAAAUAAACUCAUCAUGUGCAUUUUCCAUUUGAUAUACUUUUGAAUUUUUUUUUAAAAAUGAAAGCAGAAUCUUGCAAAGUCAGGGAUCGGAUGAACUCUUUCAGUGUCUGCAAUCCCAGGAGACAAGUCGUUGCAUUUCAAUGGAUGGGUUCCUGGGGAUAGCUCGCCGGAUCUCAGGCUUCCUCAGCAAGCACUCUAAGGACAGCUGUACCUCCAGCCCCGUGUCAAGACAUCACAGCUGUCACAGUGAAGAUGGCUCUGCUCAGAUCAGUGACCUGUGUAGGGCUUAGAGUCUGAAGCAGAGACACAGGUAAGCACAAACCACUUAAGUCAAAACCUAAUUCCUUUCUACAUCAAUUUUUUUCCUUCUGUAGGAAGUAUUCGUCAGCUUGACACUGUGAAGAGGAAUCUCAAUUGAGAAUGCCUGCAUCCCAUCCACCUGUGGUGCAUUUUCUUGAUGGAUGAUUGAUGUGGGCGGGUCCAGCUCCCUGUGGGUGGCGUCACUCCCUGGCAGGUGGUGCUGGGCUGGAAAAGAAAGCAGAAGGAGCAAGCCAGUCAGCAGCUCUGUGACCUCGAUGCCAGCCCCUGCCUCUAGCUUCCCGCCUUGAGUUCAUACCCUGGCUUUCCUCAGUUACUGACAGUAAAGUGCUGAGAAUUCUGUAUCACCUCCAGCUUUCUGUCCAAUGGCAUGGAGUAUUCAGGUGGAGGAGCAGGGUUGCCUGAAUAUGACGAUCUCCCACCCAGGAGCAGAAAACUCUGACUACCCUGCUGGCUGCUGGCUGCUGCCUCCUGGGGAUGCUCCCAGCCACUACGCUGGGGACUUAUCCAGGUAACUCUGCUGCCGCUGCCCAGCAGGAGGCUUUGGACCUGUUUGACUGUUCAGUACUCUGCUCAUCCCAUCUUCUGUCUCCAGCCAGCCAUCCUUGUUUAACUUUCUGGAAGAUGAAUGUCUCCUAGGUUGUCUUUGGAAUCCCAUUUCUUUGACUUAAAGAGGCUGACAGGGUGAGAGAAACAAAGGCUGUUUAGGAUUUGAUCUCCCCUGAUUGUUUCUCUCUCGGUAAAGAGGUAAAUAAAAGGGAGGGGGAAGAAAAGAAAGAAAAAGGAGCCUGGGCUCAGCUCACCAGCUGUGGGUCCCUGAUGGGCCUGCCUGACGCAGUCACAUUGUGCAGGGGCUGGAGCACCUGUGAGGAGUUAAUGAGAAAAAUCCAGAAGUGUGGCUCCCACAAGGGCUCCCUUUAGAGUCCCACAGGGAUGACCCCACCCCUCCCCUGGCAAGUUUCAAUGACAGGUGGGAUUAAUCUCAGCAGGCUGUCCUUUGGAGACACUCCAUCAUCUCCUUUCUAGCUGGAAAGAGGGGUUCACCAUGUCAAGUUCUAGUGGUUUUCCUUGGGAUUUUAGGGUUUGAAGCUGUUUCUCAAGGUAAAGCUAAAAACCACAAAUAAAACGUUAAGGCUCCCAGGGGUGUCCUCCAGUAACUCAGCUGCCUGAGUCAACACGAAGCUGUCUGAGAAUCAAGAAGUUAUUGGUAGUGAAGGUCAGUCGGUAUCUUUGCAUCUCAAAUGGGUAAACUGAGUCCCAUUGAAGGCCUUGGCCAGAUCACUGCAAGCAGUUCGGUGUGGGGAAGGGUGAAAUCACCUGCUGAAGGGCAGCGUGGCAUUAGGCAAAGCUAUAAAAAGCUUACAUAUCAGAUGAGGCAGAGGACUGUGACCGCCUGGAGAAUUGGUGGGAGGUGAAGCAGCUGGAGAAAUGUCUUAGUGAAGGCGGCCAUAAGCAAGGAUUGGACUUUGUUACGGUCCCUCUCCUUGGAGAUUAGAAUCAGACAAAAGAGGUAGGUAGGUAACUCACUUUGGGUUCAUGGUGUCAGAGCAUCUCUGUUGUGCCACAUGCUCUGGAAGGCACUGGCUGUGCUAACCCAUAUGUGCCACUGUGAGAAAAAGGUGUGCCAUGCUCCUCAAAGCCAUUGAUUGAGAACGUCAGAAGUCAGAGGACCUGAUUGGUAGAGGUAGAUUUUCUUCACGCCUGCUUCCAACUGGUGCAAGCUGCCACAAAUGUCUAUGUCCUUUGAGCAUGGACAAGGUGAUCCCUGUCCUGUGUUCCUCAGGAGUCUAGUAAGGAUCAAGGGACAUAAGAGUCUUUGCCUGCUCUGCAGGCAAUACAGCAGUAAGAUCGAUGAGGUCCUUUGUUCAGAGGUCCCUUGACGUCUUCACCCUGGUGUGUUCUCUAUGCAAACUGUGAACAAGGGAAGAGUCCUGGGGAGACUCUCUGGGUACCUAACCACUCAGCUGAAAGUCAAAAAGUAUGGACUUAAGUCCUAACUCUACCACUUACUAGGCAUUUCAUCAUUCAGGUUCCUUGAUAUCACCCACAGACUAAGAACUAUGUUAGACAUCAUAUAGGAUGCCUGUAGGUAAAUUGUUUAUGUGAUGUCCGUGCAGCCGGCCUGGUAGACAGUGAUCUCUUUACUGAUUGAUGGUGCUUUGGUGAAGUCAGGUGAUCCACAGGUCCAGCCGGUGCUGAAUCCCAGAGAGGAUUCAGUUGUAUCAGUAACUGACAUGUGGAUGUGAAUUCUAAUUUACCCAUCUGGUGUCACGUGUGGACAGUGUGGGAGGAAGCAGUGAGGGUUUUCGUGAGAGCGAAUCCCAGCCCGAAAGCAAAGCCAGGGUAGAGAACUUGUACCAGCAUUACCACCAUUCUGCCACUGGGCAGAACUGUUAGGGAAACCUACCACCAGGCAGAAAGAUCUGGUCUGUUAGGGAGACAAGGCACACUUUCUCCCAUGGCCAGCCAAAGAACGUAUCUGGGUAUUAUCUGGGAACACACAGAAAGAAACUCAUGUCUGGCCCAUCUUUGCCCCAGAAGCCAACCUUGGUGGGUGGUUAGUGAUCAGUGUAAGAAUGUGUAGGCAGUCUGCUGCUUCUGUCUGAGGCACUGUGUCCAAAAGGCUGGCUAUCUCCACCGCCUUAUGUAUAACAUCAGAAGUCUGGAGCUGAAGUUAGACUGCAGGGAGCCAAAUAACCCUAUUAAGAAUGGGGUACAGAGCUAAACAAAGAAUUCUCAUCUGAGGAAUAUCGAAUGGCUGAGAAGCACCUAAAGAAAUGCUCAACAUCCUUAGUCAUCAGGGAAAUGCAAAUCAAAACAACCCUGAGAUUCUACCUCACGCCAGUCAGAAUGGCUAAGAUCAAAAACUCAGGUGACAGCAGAUGCUGGCGAGGAUGCGGAGAAAGAGGAACACUCCUCCAUUGUUGGUGGGAUUGCAAACUGAUACAACCACUCUGGAAAUCCAUCUGGAGGUUCCUCAGAAUAUUAGACAUUCCAUUACCUAAGGACCUGGCUAUACCUCUCCUGGGCAUAUACCCAAAAGAUGCUCCAACAUACAACAAAGACAUGUGCUCUAUUAUGUUCAUAGCAGCCUUAUUUAUAAUAGCCAGAAGCUGGAAAGAACCCAGAUGCCCUUCAACAGAGGAAUGGAUACAGAAAAUGUGGUACAUCUACACAAUGGAAUAUUACUCAGCUAUCAAAAACAAUGAUAGUGGAUAGUAGCCCAAAAGCUCCAAUCACCCAAGAUACAGUACAGAGACUUCAUCAAGCUCAAGAAGAAGAAUGGCCAAAGUGCAGAUGCUUUACUCCUUCUUAAAAAGGGGAACAAAAAUAUUCAUAGGAGGGGAUAUGGAGGCAGAGUUUAGAGCAGAGACUGAAGGAAUGGCCAGUCAGAGCCUUCCCCACAUGUGGCCCAUAUAUAUACAGUCACCAAAACUAGAUAAGAUUGAUGAAGCAAAGAAGUGCAUGCUGACAGGAACUAGAUAUAGAUAUCUCCUGAGAGACAAAGCCAGAGCAUGUCAAAUACAGAGGCAAAUACUAGCAGCAAACCACUGAACUGAGAAUGGGACCCCCAUUGGAGGAAUUAGAAAAAGGAUUGAAGGAGCCGAAGGGGCUUGUGACUCCAUAAGAACAACAAUGCCAACCAACCAGAGCUUCCAGGGACUAAACCACUACCCAAAGACUACACACGGACUGAUCCUGGGCUCCAACUGCAUAUGUAGUAGAGGAUGGCCUUGCUGGGCACCAAUGGGAGGAGAAGCCCUUGGUCCUGCCAAGGUUGGACCUCCAGUGUAGGGGAAUGUCGGGGGUGGGGGUGAGAAAGGGGUGUGGAUGAGGAGGGGAACACCCUUAUAGAAGAAGGGGAGGGGAGAUAAGGAGCUUAUGGACAGGAAACCAGGAAAGGGAAUAACAUUUGAAAUGUAAAUAAACAUCCAAUUAAAAAAAAAGAAGUCUGGAGCCAGUGUCCUUCUCCUGACAUACGAACAAUGCCAAAUUUCAAAGGCAGGAUCCUCCCUUUCUGCUGUUUCCUGUUGUGUCUCCGCCUUUAAAAAAUUAACUUUGAGAAUGUCAUAUGAUAUAUGGCCACCCUUCUUUAUAUAACUGCAAGCUAUUGAUUUAUUGUCUUUCUGUAUAAAAAUAGUUACACUAUUGUGCGUGUGCGUAGUGUGAGUGUGACUAGUGUGUCUGUGCAUGUUGAUGGGCAAGUCUGUCUAUUUAGGUUGGUGGGCACAUGGUGUAGAGUGUGUGAGGAGGAUAAUUUCUGAGAAUUGGUUCUCUCCUUCUCCAAAGCCAUUAUCCUUGAAAGCUUAGAUCUGGUGACAGGCACCCCUCCCCACCGAGUGGCCUUACCAGCCCACAGUUCUUGAUUUCAUUUACUCCAAGCCUAAGUCCCGCCUCUGGUGUGAGAUGUGUUUUGGCUUUGAGGCAUCUCCUGCCUACUUAAGGCCAUCUCUACAUGUUGGCAGAGCUGUUUCACUCAUGGACAGCUUGCAACUCUUGGCCUGCCUUCUUCAAAGCCUUUACUUUUGAAAGCAUUACCUUUGUGGUAUGUCUAAUUUUAUGUGACAGCUUAGCUCUCGUAGAACUGGGAUAAACUAUGGGCCCUUGGGCCAGGCCACCAGGUGGGCAUGGGACUGGUGAGGUGGGGCAUGCUCAAACUCCAGGACUCAGAGAUCUGAGACUGGCAGGAGUGGGGCUGCUCCCUCCCUCCCUGCCUCUAAGGCCUGCUCUGGCUGAACCACAACACUCAGGUAGGAUGACCCGGGCACUCAGUUAUGCAUCUGGAAUACCUCUCCAUGCUAAUGAGGCAUCUCAGUACCUUUAGCCUUCAGCCAAUAACCUUCCCUUCCUAGACACUCUCAGACCUUCCCCCAAAAUUAUAUAAUCCCUAGUUCACACCAAAUAAAGUAUAUUCAUUUAUAUCACCCCCAAUAAAGAAAUAUGAAUGAGUUAAGAUAAUUUUAGAGAGCUGCUUCAUUAAAGGUUGCCACAGGGAAGGCCUUUGCCUAACACUAAGUUUCCCUGAAGGAGACCUUUCCUCUUCUUCCACCUCAUUGGCAUUCGAUCCCAACCAGACUAGAAUCCUGCCCAUCCUUGACUCUGCUUUCCCUGGCCUGGCAUGCAGCAGUGUCUGACUCCCAGAAGGGAAAUGAGACUGCAGACUCCUCAUUCUAGACUUUGCCCAGUAACCCCCUCCCUGAGCCAGUGUUUUGGUGGUGUCCAGAUGCUGCCAGGGAGACACAGAACAUGGGACCACAAUAUAUUAAAAGUUAGUAUUUAGAAGCUGCCCCUCCGAGGGGACACUGAGCCCCAUGCAGGAGUUAAUGACUUCCUCCUUGAGACAAGGAUGCUUCUCUAUUUUACUUACUAAUGCAUCUCCAGGGCCAAGUGUUCAGCACACAGUAGGUAUUCAGCUGUACCUGUGAAGCAAACAGAAAGCAGUCAGCUUUGGCAGGCCAUGGGAGAAAGUGUGCCUCUGUUCCCUGAUGGAUAGGAUCUUCUCUCUGGUGGUAAUGUCGGUACAAGCUCUCCACCCAAGUUACUCUUGGGCUGGGAUUCGUUCACACUGAAACACUCACCCCUUUUCCCCACACAGUCCACCAUGUCUAAGUCCUCGGGGGAAAGCAAAGUUCUGAUUGUGACAUGGUCCAUCCAUAAUCCUAAAACGAUCUCCAAUUAUUCUUGAAAUUAAAUUCUCAUCUGAGUAGUUAAGGCAUCUGGCCUUAGCUACUCUCAGUUGUAAUAUCCAUUUGCUUUCUGCCAAUAUUCUGCAUUUCUUUCCCCUCCUCUUCCCCCCCUCCUUCCCCUCCUUCCCCUCCUUCCCCUCUUUCCCCUCUUUCCUGUCCUCCCCAUCCCCAUUUCUCUCUGCCCUUGCUCUGCUUCCUCCCCAUCCUCUUUCUCCUCCUCCUCCUUUUCUUCUUCUUCUUCUUCUUCUUCUUCUUCUUCUUCUUCUUCUUCUUCUUCUUCUUCUUCUUCUUCUUCUUCUUCUUCUUCUUCCUCUCCUCCUCCUCCUCCUCCUCCUCCUCCUCCUCCUCCUCCUUCUCCUUCUUCUACUUCUUCAGAUAGGAUCUCAUGUAGCCCAUGUAGUUUUGAACUCCUUGAGUAACUGAGACUGACCCUUGACUUGGACUCCUCUGGCCCCAUCUUUAAAAUGUUGCAGCUAAAAAUGCAUGCCACCAGCGGUUGCUUUUCCAUAGCAUUGUGCAAUGCUUUCCACACUUCUCCUUGAAGACUUCCUGUCUCCAUCUUUUCUUUCCUCCUGUUCCUUCUAUUUGGUGGGAACAUUUUCCCCAACAAAGUGAAGUUCAGGAGGGGUCCUGAAUGGCAUCCAGGGAGUCUUCCACCAUCUGCAGUCACAGCUCUGAAGAUCACCCCAAGUUUUCAAGCCCCACCUCUAACCUCGAUAGGCUUAAGACAUUUCCAAGGAGAUCUUUGUGCCUUUGCUCAUCCUCCUGUGUAUAUCUGUACUCUUAGACCUACAACCUUUCUGUAGGUCUCAUUCUAGUGAGGUCGAAAGUCUUUUGAAGAUAAGAUAUGAUACCCCUUCCCUGUGCUUUGCACACAAUGCUCUCUUGUGGAAGAGCAGAGUUUGCUCAUCUGUUGCAUCAAACAAUGACUCUAAACAAAGGUGGUCCCUCUCCAUGGGCUGCUUGUUCCUUCUAGCUUCUUUUUAGGUCAAAUGGACCUUCCACAAAAAGGAAUGAUCUUGCCCAGGAGUGGUAGCAAAUGCCUUUAAUCCCAGCAUUCAGGAGGUAGAGGUGGGUGGACCUGUUUGAGUUAGAGGCCAGCCUGAUCUACAUAGUGAGUUCCACACCAACCAAGGCUACUUAGUAAGACACUGUCUAAAGAAACAGAAAUAAACAAAUACAUAGAUAAAAAGGAGCGAUCUUUGUGGUCACCAUCGAAAAACAGUUUUAAGCAUGAAAUGUUGGAUCCAAAACCUAGUAGCUUCCCAAUCACUCUAACCAUGCAAUGGUUCUCCUUCCCUCUGCCCGGGUGGACACUCACACUGUGGUUGCUGAAAGUUGAUUUCUGUACAUUAUCGAGGGUAUCGAGUGUGCUUGUUUGAGCUCCAGGAAAGUCAACCUCGAAUGCUUCAAACCUGCCCAACCAAUCUCUACUUGGGAAAAAUAAAUAAGAGGUGGAGUUGUUUCUUCAAAGCAUUUGAUGGGUGAGCACACAUUCUGUAGUUCCUCGAGGGUCACUGAAGUUCCUGUGUUAUCACUAGCGCUGCAUUCCUGAACCUGAAAAGAAAUGAGCUACUUAGUAUGUUCCUUUGCAGAUGGCCCCCAUGCCUUGAGGUCUAUCUACCUGUUUUCAGGAAGACUUUGGGCAGUAGCAAUGAAGGGAUAUUUCCCCUGUAUGUUACAGAGGCCAGUCUCUUGACAACAGCUUGGCAAGAAAAAGAAUAAAAUCUAUUUUACAUCUACUGAAUGUCUCUAAUUGGGUUUUGAAGACCAAACAAUUCCCUUCAAUACAGCUGGGGCUUUGGGUAGCCCCAAACCAAUUAACUCAAAUUAUAUAAUUUUCCCUCCCGCCCCUACUCUCUAAACUUGACUUGCUUAGUUAGCGAAGAGAGGGAUUAGUGCGAAUGCUGCUUGGCACAAUGGAUGAACUCAACUGUGGGACAGCCAGAGCAUCUUGCCUGUGGAAAAAGAAUAAAGGCAAACUCCGGUUGUUGAGCUGUCGUGUCCUUGGUACGGCUCUCCUCCUUCUACAGUGUAAUUCUGUAUUUGGCAUAAAUAUACUAAUGGAUUACGGGAGAGCAGAAAACAUCCGAGCCUUUGAAUGGGAGCAAGCAACCUCUUCGGUCUCUGGGCAUGCGCAGGGCACCUCAUUAAGGCGCCUAGAUUUGUGAAGUGGUGACCAGAGCCAUGCAAACAGUCUGAGGAGGAAUCUGAGCAGGUAUGUUCAUGCGCAUGCGUGGUUGUUUAAAGGCACAAGAGUGCUACUACGAAUAGAGUUCCUCUUUCUUCUCACAUGAUUUGGAAUUGAGACGAGAAUAGGAGGAAUGAUAAAAUCCCAUGACAGUUCUAAGUAUGGAUAUUACAGAAUUAUUUACUUAACAUGUAGGAGUACAUCAUCGCUGUCUUCAGGCACACGAGAAGAGGGCGCCAUUACCGAUGGUUGUGAGCCACCAUGUAGUUGCUGGGAAUUGAACUCAGGACCGCUGGAAGAGCAGUCAGUGCUCUUAACUGCUAAGCUGUCUCUCCAGCCCUAUCUUACAUAUUAAAAGUGCAAUGAUUUUAAAGGUGGAACAGUAUCUUACAGUAUGACUGUAUGCCAAAAGUCUUUUGCAAAUUUUGUUACAAACAGCUCAAUUCCCCCCUUCCCCUAUUUCAUAUACAACAUUGCAUACUAUAGUCCUUGUAACAAGAUCCUUGACACCAGAUCCUUGCUUGCAGCUUUUAAUGCUGGCGAAAUGCACGUGAACCUAGUCCGUUUAGUGUUCGGACAAAAGGACCGUUGGCAGGUCCCCGCAUCCCAACUGCAGGCCUUUUCAGGGAUUCUCACACUCGCAGCCUGUGAGAUCCUAGCUUCUAAGUGCUGACCUUUCAGAUAUCAAAAAGAGAAAAAGGCAGACAUCCCUCAAUGUCUCUCUUCUCUUCUAAGAAUAUAAAACACAGUGGUAAGCUUGCCCUGGUCUUUUCUCACACAUUCCUGUCUGGGCAGAUGCUGCCCUGGAAACUGUUGGCUCCUUUGACUGUUAGAAGCCAGCAGCUUCCUGCAGCCAUGCUAAGAACCUGGGUGUUGGAAGUUAUCAUUCAGGUCUCGACUGCUCGUGCAGAAGAGGAAACUGAGAGACUGAGAGAAUAGUGGUCAUCUCAGGAACCAGUAGGCCAUUUUCUCAGCAACUGUGGGCGAAAUGACAUCUUGUCUUGUGUGUGUGUGUGUGUGUAUGUGUGUGUGUGUGUGUGUAUGUGUUUGUGUAUGUGUGUGUGUGAGUGUGUGUAUGUGUGUGUAUGUGUGUGUGAGUGUGUGUGUAUGUGUGUAUAUGUAUGCAUGUGUAUGUGUGUGUAUGUGUGUGCAUGUGUAUGUAUGUAUGUGUGUAUGUGUGUAUAUGUGUGUAUGUAUGUGAGUGUGUGUGUGUGUAUGUGUCUGUAUGUGUGUGUUAGUGUGUGUGUAUAUGUGUGUGUGUAUGUGUGUGAGUGGUGUGUGUAUGUGUGUGAGUGUAUGUGAGUGUAUGUGUGUGUGAGUGUGUGUAUGUGUAUGUAUGUGUGUGUAUAUGUAUGGGUGUGUGUAUGUGUGUAUAUGUGUGUGUAUGUAUGUGUAUGUGUGUGUAUGUGUGUGUGUAUUUAAAAACAGUUUUUGUUUCAUAAAAAAAUGAAUAUUGCUCAGCCUCAAAAUACUUUUCUUUUCUUUUUUUUUUUGUCCCACCAUGGAAAUUCAUCCCAACUUUAGUCCUAGUUUACUCUGGUCAAGCUUGAAGAUAAUGUAGGAGGUAAGGAGAUUUAAGUUUUUCAUUCCUGGUUAUCAGGAUACCUUCUAAAGAUUUUGCAGCCCUCGUUCACCUGGCAUUCACUAUGUAGUCCAGGCUGGCCAGGAAGUAACUCUCUCUGCUUCCUGAGUGCUGGGAUUAAAGGUGUAUACUACCACUCUCAGCCUUGGUUUUUCUUCUUCUGACGGGCAUAGUCUCUCCAAGAUUUUCCAAGAUUGGGUUAAGGAAUCUACAGAUUUGCUCACUGGUUUUCUUCAAAACAGUAUUGAGUGUGUGUGUUUUUCCUCCUGGUCCCAGACUCUUGUAAUAAUGACUCUGAGACUCAAAAUAUAUUUAUGAACACCUUAGCCAUAAGUUUUUUGGUUGGUUCCUGGAUUAGAUCAGAACUUAAUGUCCCAUUUAUUUUAAUGUAAGUUCUGCCAUAGGGCUUCUAUCCUCUUCCGUGUUCCCAGGUGAAACCCCCACUCCUCUCUAUCCCAGAAUUCAAUUUCCCUACCGGAUGUCCUACCUUCUCUUUCUUACCUAAGUUUAUAGGCCAAUCAGUGACUGACAGGUGCUGCAUCCAUACAGUACACAGAGAUUCCCUCUACACGUUAGUGUCCCAGAGGUGGAAGACCAGGUUUGCUAGGCCCUGUGGUACCAAUGAUUAAGGUUUGGCCUUCCUCUGUUGAAAGCCUCCAUCUUUGGGGAUUCGGAUACUCAAAUUCAGGAGCCAUAGCCCAAGGACAAGACUCAGAGUCUUGAAAGAGAGACAGUAGAUAUUUCAAGUUCAAAUUCUGAAGAGAAUGUCAAAAAAUGAUUUGGCUUCUUUCUUGGGAAAGAAAUAAGGGAGCCGUGGCAGACCAGAGAGCGAACUGACUUGUUCAAGGUUGAGUGUUGACAUAAUGGUCAACCUGGAUGGGUUUGGUUCUUUUGACUUAAUUCAAGAUGGCCUUUGGUGGCCAGUGACUCUCACAUCUUAAUGCUGAAAGCAGGUCAGUUAUCCUUCUGACUUCUGGCUUGGGAAUGGCAGGAGAAACUUCACCUACAGGUUGCAAUUUCAUCCAGCUGCCUCUUCCUAGAUAGAUUUGCUAUUUGUGUCAAGAAUAUAACGUGGAUAAGCAGAUGGGGCCCUCGUAACACUUCUCCCCUUUGGAUGCAAAUCUGUCAGAUGUAUUUACUUAUCAUAGCUGCUUCCACCUCUGAACCUUGACUGCCACCCCUGUCCUGGGAAUCCUCCCCAAAAAUCAAAGCACCCUGAUGGUUUAUUUUGGAAGUAUCUUGAAAAGGAUAAUGUUUGACCACUCUCCUCCGUGCCUUUCCCUCUAUGUGCUGUGUGUAAUGAUCCAGAGACAAUCAAUUGGACACUGCAUUUUAAAGAUAAGGAUGGGGAUUUUAUUUCUGGGUAACCCGGUGACCCCAAUCAAUCUCUGUCUUACAAACCCUCUGAAGAUUUGAAGCUCCACUCUGCAAUUCAGGGCAGCUUCCAAGGAUGGCAACAGAUGUUGCAAUCCAAACACCUUUAUUAACUAUUUAUCUUCAGAUGUAUAUCAAGGACCUCUUGGCCAACAGGAGUAGUAGAUAGCCCCUUAAAUGAGGAACCCCCAGCUUUCAUCUUCAAGCCGUUUCCCCCUGUAAUCCCUUUGAGGAGGAAUAAAGUAGCUGACAAUAUUGAACUCCUUUAAAAGUUUGUCUCCGAAGGGCAGAUGUUGUCUACCCAGUGAAAAUGUUGCUGAUAGUUGCAUCUCUCUCUCUCUCUCUCUCUCUCUCUCUCUCUCUCUCUCUCACACACACACACACACACACACACACACACACACAUACACACACACACACACACACACACA
Molecule: non-coding RNA, 11850 nt
Organism: Rattus norvegicus (Norway rat)
Lineage: Eukaryota; Metazoa; Chordata; Mammalia; Rodentia; Muridae
Source: RefSeq, a predicted model, not a curated record